MicroRNA precursor from Pteropus vampyrus (large flying fox), 107 nucleotides. The record is from Ensembl. Lineage: Eukaryota; Metazoa; Chordata; Mammalia; Chiroptera; Pteropodidae.
ACUAACGAAUGGUGCACAGGAAAAUGACCUAUGCAUCGACAGACAGUAUAGUCGAGUGUGUCUGUCGUUUCUAUAGGCCAAUAUUCUGUAUAUCUUUGUUACUUCAA